UACGUAGGGUGCGAGCGUUAAUCGGAAUUACUGGGCGUAAAGCGUGCGCAGGCGGCUUUGCAAGACAGAUGUGAAAUCCCCGGGCUCAACCUGGGAACUGCAUUUGUGACUGCGAGGCUAGAGUACGGCAGAGGGAGAUGGAAUGCCGCGUGUAGCAGUGAAAUGCGUAGAUAUGCGGAGGAACACCAAUGGCGAAGGCAAUCCCCUGGGCCUGUACUGACGCUCAUGCACGAAAGCGUGGGGAGCAAACAGG
This 253-nucleotide ribosomal RNA is filed under the name uncultured bacterium. RNAcentral describes it as "partial 16S ribosomal RNA". It matches the Rfam family "Bacterial small subunit ribosomal RNA", at positions 524 to 776 of the family's 1533-position model. The record is from RNAcentral.